CUCUAUGACCACGCCAACCUGAAUGCACCCAACCUCCUCUGUGGGAAGAAGCUAAGCAGAGUCAGGCCUGUUCAGUAUUUGGAUGGAAGUAUAUGCCAUUAGGCUAAAGGGAAAAACUAGCACCAAAUACU
Molecule: ribosomal RNA, 131 nt
Filed under: Erinaceus europaeus (western European hedgehog)
Lineage: Eukaryota; Metazoa; Chordata; Mammalia; Eulipotyphla; Erinaceidae
Source: RNAcentral